GAUUAAUAUAGGUAAGGAGUAAUGCUUGCAGACUGCCCAGGGCCCGAGAGAGUACCUGAGAGCAGGCGUUGCUAUGGUCAGCAGGCUUUAGAGCCUGAUGCACAAAUCAAACCCAUCGUAGGAACUGGAUUUGAAGGUUUCUUUGGAAAAGGAAAGGCUAUUUGGGGAGUACUAAAAGUUACAAAACAAACAACCAACAACCCGGGAACUGACUGGGAAACAUUUUGAAGCCAGAACUCUAUAUUUUGUAGUUAAAUAAGGAGUGUAUCUUCUGCCACUGCAUUGUGUGGGUCAGUGUGGCAGUGGUGCAAAAUGUCACAGGGUUGAGUCCCACGUCCCGAAGACUUCUCCUCUCCCUCACAUAGUCCUGUUACUCAAGCCUCCCUCUACCCCUGAAUUAUACUUGUUCUACGUAGGCCUUACACUUACUGUGUUCUCAGCAUUCAUUCAGCCGGGCAGACUUUCUGAGAAUAUGAUAGGUUCUAGAUGCUGCUCCCAGAAGGCAGGAGUGUGAAGGGGAGGGUAUCUUAUUGAUAACCAGGAUCUGUACGAGAUAGAUUAUAUCCAAUUAAUCUUUUGUAAAGCUUGCAUUUCCUCCAAGUUGUAAGAUCUUUCUCGGGUAGAAGAAAAUCACGGCUGCACUCAGGGUGGUGGCUGGACAUCUGGCACUGGGGCUUUAUCCAUUCCAAGUCUUCGGGACAUCUUCACAUUCCCAAUGCUCUCCUUAGGACAAUUGAAAGAACGGAUGCAAAUAAUUGCUGGGUUUUCAGGCCGUGGAGACAGGAGGCCGUCGAAAGUGAAACUGAAUGACAAAUGGCUUCACUCUGAAGCAACUAGGAUCAACAACUCAGAUCUGGAUGGUGACCUGUAGUUUACAAUCCCAUCAGAAGAGUUGAGCUGGUCCUUUAAGGAGGCUGGCCAGAAAAUUGAAAAGAAGUCCAGAUGAUCACAGAAACUAAAGAAAGUUUUGGAAGUAAUGAAGCUAUCAUUUUACACUGAAAAACAGAUCUGCACAUGCAGAAGCAGAAUGAUGUGAGACAGAAGAGGGCCACUUAUUCAUUGGUAGGCUUGGAGAUCAAAGCCAAGGCUUCAAAAACACUAAGGAAGUGCCAUCUACCAGAAAACCACAUCCCCAGCCCUGAAACAUUUAUUUGGAAACUUGGAUGAUACUUCUUAGGAAAACCCUUGGCUAAAGACGGAAUGAAGAUUUAAACAAAUAAGAAGAAACUGAGUCACAGCUGACGUGCUUCAUUGAUUAGGAUUGGACAUCUAACAAGGCUAUCACUCAGAGCACCGGGAUCCUAGUGUGGGUUUUCACAGUUCAUCUCAGAAUGGAUUUGGGGUAUGAAGAACGUGAUCACAGUUCCUAUUCAAGGUUCUCCUUUAACCUAAAAACCAUCCUAGCUGAAGAUCAAAAGAAAGAUUGGCAUUGAAUGAAGUACUGACUUAUACAGGACACCAAAAACACCAGAUCAGGUAACCAGGAAUGUUUCCUAUCUUGAUUCCCUGUCACAUACCUCACCUUUAAGUUUAAUUAUUAUCCCUCCUGAGAGUCAUCUGAGAGAAAUCUUGUUUGAGGAAUUGACUGGAUUGGAUUGACUUACAGGAAGAUUUAUGGAGAAUUGCCUUGAUUAUUAAUUGAUGUAGGAUGGCCCAGUCUACUGUGGGUGACACUAUCCCUAGGCUCGUAGACCUGGGUUCAAGAAAAAAAGCUAUGUAAGCAUAAGCCUGUAGCAAACCAGAGAGUGAGGCAACCAGGAGUAUUCCUCCAUGGUUCCUGUUUUCUGG
Molecule: small RNA, 1788 nt
Filed under: Rattus norvegicus (Norway rat)
Lineage: Eukaryota; Metazoa; Chordata; Mammalia; Rodentia; Muridae
Description: uncharacterized LOC102550644
Source: RNAcentral